UCCCUGGUGGCCUAGAGGUUAAAGCAUCUGCUUGCAAUGCAGGAGACCCAGGUUCAAUCCCUGGGUUGAGAA
This 72-nucleotide transfer RNA is filed under the name Ovis aries (sheep). It matches the Rfam family "tRNA". Rfam says of the family: Transfer RNA (tRNA) molecules are approximately 80 nucleotides in length. Their secondary structure includes four short double-helical elements and three loops (D, anti-codon, and T loops). Further hydrogen bonds mediate the characteristic L-shaped molecular structure. tRNAs have two regions of fundamental functional importance: the anti-codon, which is responsible for specific mRNA codon recognition, and the 3' end, to which the tRNAs corresponding amino acid is attached (by aminoacyl-tRNA synthetases). tRNAs cope with the degeneracy of the genetic code in two manners: having more than one tRNA (with a specific anti-codon) for a particular amino acid; and 'wobble' base-pairing, i.e. permitting non-standard base-pairing at the 3rd anti-codon position. Lineage: Eukaryota; Metazoa; Chordata; Mammalia; Artiodactyla; Bovidae. The record is from Rfam by way of RNAcentral.